GGGAGAAAGAAGAAUGACAGAGGGAGGAGGAAGAGAGACUGGGAGAGAAAGAGAGGAGGAUGAAGGAAGAGGAAGACAUGAUUCGUAGAAAAGAGGAGGAGGAAUGGAAGCAGAAGUGUUUGGAGAUGGAGAAAAAGAGGCAGAAGCUAAGACUUCUGGAGGAGGAACAAGAGAAGAUGGAUAGAGAGAGGAGGCUAAUGGAGGAAAAGAAGAGAGGAGAAGAGGAGAAGCUUUCUGAGAUGGAGAGAAAGUUUGAGGAAGAACAAAUUAAGAGAAAGAGAAUGGAGAGAGAGAUGGAGAGGAGAAAGAAAGAAAUUGAAAGAGAAGAAGAAGAGGAGAAGAGGAGGAAGGAGAUUUUUGAGGAAGAGGAGAAGCUUAAGGAGAUGGAGAGAAAGCUUGAGGAAGAACGAACGAAGAGAAAGCUUGAAGAAGAGAGAAUGGAGAAGAGAAAGAAGGAAAUUGAAAGAGAAAAGGAAGAGGAGAAGAAGAGGAGGAAGGAGAUUGAGAACGAGGAAAAGCUUAAGCAGGAGAUAGAGAGGAAGCUUGACGGACAGAGAAUGGAGAGGAGAAAGAAAGAAAUUGAAAGAGAAGAAGAAGAGCAGGAGAAGAGGAGGAAGAAGAUUUUUGAGGACAAUGAGAAGCUUAAGCAGGAGAUGGAGAGAAAGCUUGAAGGAGAGAGAAUAAAGAGAGAGAUGGAGAAGAGAAAAAAGGAAAUUGAAAGAGAAGAAGAGCAGGAGAAGAGGAGGAAGAAGUUUUUUGAGGACAAGGAGAAGCUUAAGCAGGAGAUGGAGAGAAAGCUUGAAGGAGAGAGAAUAAAGAGAGAGAUGGAGAAGAGAAAAAAGGAAAUUGAAAGAGAAGAAGAAGAGCAGGAGAAGAGGAGGAAGAAGAUUUUUGAGGACAAGGAGAAGCUUAAGCAGGAGAUCGAGAGAAAGCUUGAAGGAGAGAGAAUGAAGAGAGAGAUGGAGAAGAGAAAAAAGGAAAUUGAAAGAGAUGAGGAAGAGGAGAAGAAGAGGAGGAAGGAGAUUGAGAACGAGGAGAAGCUUAAGAAGGAUAUGGAUAGAAAGCUUGAAGGAGAGAGAAUGAAGAGAGAGAUGGAGAAGAGAAAAAAGGAAAUUGAAAGAGAAGAACAGGAAGAGAAGCUUAAGAAGGAGAUGGAGAGGAAGCUUCAAGGAGAGAGAAUGCAGAGAGAAAUGGAGAAGAGGAAGAGGGAGAUUGAGAAAGAAGAGAAGGAGCAGGAGAAACAGGACGUUUUGAUCCCACUGGAUCAAACGAAGAAAGAGAGAGUCAUGGAGGAGGAGAAGAAGGAAGAUCCAUCAAGCGAGGAGAAAGAGAUAAUGGUGGGAGAAACAUCAAAAGAGGAAGUGAAGAACAUCGAGGAAAUGAGGAAGCUUCACAUGGAGAAGGAAAAGCAGAGGAAGAAGGAGAUGAUGAAGAGGAUGUUCGCUCCAGGUGGGCUCAUCUUCAGGCCGCAGCAGGAGGAUGAUCAGCGGAGGCCUGUCAGAAGACAGAGGGAGGAUCUGAAGCCCUCCUCAUGCAGUGUUGAGGAGCAUCAGAAGACAGAAGAGGAAACAGAGAAACCACCACGCCCCUGCUGGCCUGUUUCCUCAAACGGAGAAGCAGUGGUCAUCACUGUAAAGCCCCUUCACCCAUUCCCAGAAGAAGAGGGCACUGAACUGGGCACCUCCUCCUCUGGUGCCAGUGCAAAGGGCAGCAUCGGUGGAGAAUUUGAGGAGGUCUUUACUGAGCCGGAUCCCAGUGAAGCAGAAGAUCAGACCUCCCUCAACCAGUCCAACACCUCAACACCAGCUGAUACAACCAGUGAGAUCCAACCCAACAACCAGCAGAAAGGUGUAGUGAACUGGAUCAGCAAGAAACUGCACCAGAGACACGAGAGAGCCAUCGAGAAGAGCAUACAGAGAGAGAAGAAGCACGGCAACAAGUUCUGCUUAGUCAGAAUGCCCGAAGCCGACAGACUGGUUCGGAUCUCGGAGUACGAGAAGAUGAAGCGGCAGAGGAUGCAGAUCAAGGAGGAAAACCGGCAGGAGAUGAUAAAGAAGUGGAACGACUGGCAGGAGAAACGUGCCGCAAAGAAGGCUGAGAAGAAGGAGAGGAAGGAGGAGAAGAAGAAGAGAGAUCAGGCAGAGAAGGAGGCUUAAAGAGGAAGAACAAAACAGAUAAACCCAGUCAAGCUCAGCCAAGCUACACUGAAAAAGAAAAUCAUUUUUUUACAUGAAAAUAUUUUGUAUCGGUUGUAAUAAAGUUGUAUACUCAUGCUGAACA
Molecule: long non-coding RNA, 2280 nt
Filed under: Astyanax mexicanus (Mexican tetra)
Lineage: Eukaryota; Metazoa; Chordata; Actinopteri; Characiformes; Acestrorhamphidae
Description: lncRNA (ENSAMXG00005009162.1)
Source: RNAcentral